This is a long non-coding RNA of Saimiri boliviensis boliviensis (Bolivian squirrel monkey), 1957 nucleotides long. RefSeq lists it as uncharacterized. Lineage: Eukaryota; Metazoa; Chordata; Mammalia; Primates; Cebidae. The record is from RefSeq and is a predicted model, not a curated record.
UUCAUGAGGGAUCCACUCCCAUCAGCCAAUACCUCCCGCUAGGCUCUACGUCCAUCAGUGGAGGUCACAUUUCAACUGAGAUUUGGAGGGGACCCAUAUCCAAACUAUAUCAAUUUCCAUUUUUCAUCAAAAGCCCACCUCUCUAACAAGAGCUCCGAGACAUUUCCUUUCCCGUUAAACUUGGAGGAAUUGGGAAUGACAAAGAAAUUAAUCAAAAGAAGAAUUAAUCUCUCCAAUCAGCCUUGGCAUUUUCUAUCUUUGAUGGUUUUUUUUUUUUUCUUGAGUGUCUUGAUCUUCAUAAUAAGCUAUUUGUAACUACUUCUUUCACUAUAUUGUGAGCCUCUGGAGGGCAAGGGCUGGGUCUUACACAUCUUUGAACAAUUUUAAAGCUGCUAAACAGGGCUCUGCACAUAAUGAGAAUUCAACAUAUGCUUUGUUGAAUCUAAUUUUUUCAGAAAGAGUCAACAUCUAUUCUUAAGAUAGUCCACACCAGGCUGACUGUGUUAUUUGUGAAUCCAUUGGCCAGCGUCAUUUCCUCCGAAGUGCAGCAUUUUUGAUAGAACCAGAGGCUCAUGACUGACCUUCAGAAAGACGUUUUCUAUAUCACCAUCAGAGUGGUACAGGUUUUAUUAGACUUCUGUAAUCCAGGUCUCGUUUCUCAGGCCGCUCUGAAGCAUAUCACACUUUAUCUAAGAGGGUCACAGUUAGUGAAGGGAGGUAUUGGACUUUGCAAUUUGCGUUGCUGAAGAACUUAGGAAAUGGCUUAAUUUUUUUUCCUUCUGGCUUUGAUAGAUUGACUUUGCCUCUUUUACUGCAUGCAUAGUGCCAUCUUGUGGCCAGAAAGCAUAUAACACUCAUAGUUACGCCACAGCGCUUCUGCUGUUCCAUUUGAUUUCUGUAGUCCAGAGGAUUUCCAAAUGUAGAAACUUGCAGAUUAUUACUAGCCAAGGUCAUCACUGGCCAAGCCCAUCUAGAAGCCAGAGGCAGCAAGCAGUGCCCGUUGAAACAUCCGUAAAAGGUGACGUUUGGUUAGCAAUGUCCUAUUGCAGACUUUUUGAUGUGGUGGUGAUUGGAAUAUGUUCUGUAGCGAUCAGCCGGAAUUCGCUGAUUGGAGCGGGAACUGAAGUCACAGGAAUAAAACAGUCUUCAUGCUUUAGGAUGUCCGGAUGCGCCAGUGCUGUGAAAUCUUCAUUCAUGAGACAUUCCAGUUUGCCAGCAGUGUAGACUAGAAUAUGCUACACCCCCCAAAAUAUUUUUUUAGUAUAAGGGUUAUUUUGAGAAACAACAGACGCAGGAAAAGCUCUGAAGACAGAAUGCAAACUUCAGCUAGCGUCUUGAAUUUAAGUCCCAAGUCAUCUAAGAAGCGGUCAUCUUGCUCUCCUUCAAUAAAACUGCAACAGCCAAUAGAAGCAUUCAGAGAUUCGGUUUCUUCCUGAGAAUAAACCAGAAGGCAAUCUUUGGCUAUGUGAUUUUCAUCUUCCUCAGUGUUAUAUAUUCUCUGUCUCUCCUGCAGGGCUCAUCCCUACCAAGUCUGCUACUGCAGGGAUAAAACUUUCUGACCCACUGACAUCUGUCUUGAUCACGUAACUUGCUUUGGUCAAUGAAAUGUGAGUAUAAAAAGCUGGAGGCUUUAAAAGCCAUUGCCUGGUUCUGCCUUGCUCUUUUCUCUGGGCCACAAGGAUGGCAGCUUCCCAGGUCAGAUCUGCUCUCUCAAAGCAUCUUGAAACGAAGACAUCAUGAAGCAGAGCAGAGCUGAGCUGACUGGCAGAAACAUAACUCUGGAUAUAACCCAAAGAGGAAACAAGGCCCCAAAAGUCACAUAGGGUCUCAGCUCUUUUACUCUGUGUGCACCAGUGGCAUUUCAACCUUCCUGUGCAGUUUGAUACCUUCAUCUAUAGUUAUAGAAUUUUUAAUUUUGUUUUUACCUGGAUCCAUGGCCACCCAAAAUAAAGACUAU